GACGAACGCUGGCGGCGUGCUUAACACAUGCAAGUCGAGCGGUAAGGCCCUUUCGGGGGUACACGAGCGGCGAACGGGUGAGUAACACGUGGGUGACCUGCCCUCAGCUCUGGGAUAAGCCUGGGAAACCGGGUCUAAUACUGGAUAUGACUCCAUGACGCAUGUUGUGGGGUGGAAAGCCUUGUGCGGCUGAGGAUGGGCCCGCGGCCUAUCAGCUU
RNAcentral lists this ribosomal RNA (218 nucleotides) under uncultured bacterium. Its description in RNAcentral is "partial 16S ribosomal RNA". It matches the Rfam family "Bacterial small subunit ribosomal RNA", at positions 28 to 247 of the family's 1533-position model. The record is from RNAcentral.